CCUACGGGUGGCAGCAGUGAGGAAUAUUGGUCAAUGGACGAGAGUCUGAACCAGCCAAGUCGCGUGAAGGAUGAAUGUCCUAUGGGUUGUAAACUUCUUUUAUCAAGGAACAAAACGAGGCACGCGUGCCUUUCCGAAUGUACUUUAUGAGUAAGCAUCGGCUAACUCCGUGCCAGCAGCCGCGGUAAUACGGAGGAUGCGAGCGUUAUCCGGAUUUAUUGGGUUUAAAGGGGGCGUAGGUGGAUUGUUAAGUCAGCGGUAAAAGUGAGGGGCUCAACCCCGGAGAGCAGUUGAAACUGGCAGUCUUGAGAACGGGAGAGGUAGGCGGAAUGCGUGGUGUAGCGGUGAAAUGCUUAGAUAUCACGAAGAACCCCGAUUGCGAAGGCAGCAUACUGGCCGGUAACUGACGUUGAUGCACGAAAGUGUGGGUAUCGAACAGGAUUAGAUACCCCGGUAGUC
Molecule: ribosomal RNA, 459 nt
Filed under: uncultured bacterium
Lineage: Bacteria
Description: partial 16S ribosomal RNA
Rfam family: Bacterial small subunit ribosomal RNA
Source: RNAcentral